Dendroctonus ponderosae (mountain pine beetle) is the source of this 1262-nucleotide long non-coding RNA. RefSeq lists it as uncharacterized. The transcript is spliced from 2 exons. NCBI's taxonomy places the organism in Eukaryota, Metazoa, Arthropoda, Insecta, Coleoptera, Curculionidae. The record is from RefSeq and is a predicted model, not a curated record.
AUAUUUUUUGAACAUUCUGGGAGAUUCAUAGAAUAUCAAAUGCUAUCUGGGUACUACAUGGCUGCGAAAAUGCGUGACAUUUUUGUUCCAGGUUCUCCUGACUUUAUCCAACGCCGCCAUUGAGCGAAGAUUAUACGUUGUGGCUAAUCUUCUAGAGAAGGCCAAUGGUACCAACAACAACACUCUCUACUACAACACUAACGUGGUGUUUGCUGACAAUGGCACUUUGGUGGCCAAGUAUCGAAAGAUCAACCUAAAUGAAGGCGAGUCGAGUUUAACGCCUGGGAAUGCCACAUCCAUAUUCGUCACUAGCUUUGGUACCUUUGCUCUAGUGACUGGAACGGACAUAUGGUUUUCUCAUCCAUCCCAGUCGGUGCUGGUGAACAACGGGGUGACUGACGUUAUUUUCCCCACUGCUUGGAAUUCGACGUUUCCUUUUCAAAUGUGUAAGUACCGCCUUCUAAAGUACGGUUUCGGUGGUGCGAUCAGCGAUUGCGACUUGGUGCUAAGCAUAGAUAAAGACGAGUGGAUCUGAGAGCAAAAUAGUACUAGUAAAUAGUACAGUUGCUCAUCAGCUCUCGUCAGAUGAACAACAGCUCUUCAAACGUUCCACUGUUUGACUGUUUUAUUAUUUGCUACAAGGUGUUUCACACUCGCGGUCCAACCUCGAGGUUGAAGCUUCACUGAGUGUGUGUUUUGCCCUCCCCCAGACUACCAAGAAAGAAAUUCGAGCUCGUAUCUCCCUCAGAGGCACGUUCAGGUCCCCCUUUUGGGCUCCGGAAAGCCCCUCAGUGCAGUGCCGUUCAGGAUAGUGUUCCUGAGUGUAUUUUGUGAUCGCCUUUGCCAGCUCUUGAAAUACCAGAAGCUUCUUCCUCCAGCGCAACUUCCAACCACAAAAUGAGCUCUCGCGAGCGGACCCCUUCAGGGUCCGAAAGCGACGAGUCGAACGAAUCACAAACUGAUCAAGGUAAGCCUGCAAGACGCCCUGCCCAAAAACCACGCACCCUGCUUUCUUUUAAAGCCAAAACCAAGUCCUCAGCGAAAUCGACGACAAUCAAAUUCCCCCUGACGCUCCUGCAAUCCCCCCCGUAACUCUCUCAACGCCCUAAUCGCCACCCUUAAAACCCGCACAAGUCCCGAUCCCGACCAAAUAACCAGCAAAAUCCUCAAACGACUCCCGGAAAGUAUCCUCAAUCACAUCCUCACCCUCAUCAACGCGUCCUUUUCGCUACGGAAAUUCCCAACCCCUUGGAAAACCGCCU